Molecule: ribosomal RNA, 253 nt
Filed under: uncultured bacterium
Lineage: Bacteria
Description: partial 16S ribosomal RNA
Rfam family: Bacterial small subunit ribosomal RNA
Source: RNAcentral
UACGAAGGGGGCUAGCGUUGCUCGGAAUCACUGGGCGUAAAGCGCACGUAGGCGGAUUUUUAAGUCAGGGGUGAAAUCCUGGAGCUCAACUCCAGAACUGCCUUUGAUACUGGGAAUCUCGAGUCCGGGAGAGGUGAGUGGAACUGCGAGUGUAGAGGUGAAAUGCGUAGAGAUCGGCAGGAACACCCAGGGGGAAACCAGUCGACUGGGCAUCUACUGACGCUGAGGUGCGAGAGCGUGGGGAGCGAACCGG